CCAUGCCGCGUGCGGGAAGAAGGCCUUCGGGUUGUAAACCGCUUUCGGCCGGAACGAAAUCGCCCGGGUGAACAUCCCGGGUGGAUGACGGUACCGGAAGAAGAAGCACCGGCUAACUACGUGCCAGCAGCCGCGGUAAUACGUAGGGUGCGAGCGUUAAUCGGAAUUACUGGGCGUAAAGCGUGCGCAGGCGGUUUCGUAAGACAGGUGUGAAAGCCCCGGGCUUAACCUGGGAAUUGCGCUUGUGACUGCGAGGCUGGAGUGCGGCAGAGGGAGGUGGAAUUCCACGUGUAGCAGUGAAAUGCGUAGAGAUGUGGAGGAACACCGAUGGCGAAGGCAGCCUCCUGGGCCAGCACUAACGCUCAUGCACGAAAGCGUGGGGAGCAAACAGGAUUAGAUACCCUGGUAGUCCACGCCCUAAACGAUGGCGACUAGUUGUUGGGGUAGCAGUACCUUAGUAACGCAGCUAACGCGUGAAGUCGCCCGCCUGGGGAGUACGGUCGCAAGAUUA
Molecule: ribosomal RNA, 511 nt
Filed under: uncultured Pseudomonadota bacterium
Lineage: Bacteria; Pseudomonadati; Pseudomonadota
Description: bacterial SSU rRNA
Rfam family: Bacterial small subunit ribosomal RNA
Source: RNAcentral